UCUUCGUAGGUGAACCUGCGGAGGGAUCAUUAGUGAAUCUUUUGGGAGUCCCUCUUAACCGGAGAAGGCCCAUCUCACUAUUUUCACACACUCGUGCAUUCGUCCCCUUUUUUUCUACACACGCUUGUGCAUUGAAACAUGACAAGUCUGGUUGAAUCCAAUUGAUAACAAAUGAAAAACUUUCAGCAAUGGAUCUCUUGGCUCUCGCAUCGAUGAAGAACGCAGC
Molecule: unclassified non-coding RNA, 226 nt
Filed under: uncultured fungus
Lineage: Eukaryota; Fungi
Description: sequence contains ITS1, 5.8S rRNA gene
Rfam family: 5.8S ribosomal RNA (bases 178-226)
Source: RNAcentral